This 189-nucleotide transfer RNA is filed under the name archaeon. Its description in RNAcentral is "tRNA-Leu". RNAcentral also lists the same sequence under 1 other name. The record is from RNAcentral.
GCAGGGGUCGCCAAGCCUGGUCAACGGCGCGGGACUUAAGAUCCCGUGAGUCAGUCUCUUCGAGGGUUCAAAACCGAGGGGACUCCCUCGAGGCGUGAGCGACAUUCACACUAAGGUGUGAAGUCACUUGUUCAUUAUCAAAUUUAAUGUGCGUCUGGGGUCUUCUUUGUGAAAAUCCCUUCCCCUGCA